This 585-nucleotide ribosomal RNA is filed under the name Papiliotrema laurentii. Its description in RNAcentral is "partial large subunit ribosomal RNA". It matches the Rfam family "Eukaryotic large subunit ribosomal RNA", at positions 94 to 667 of the family's 3401-position model. The record is from RNAcentral. Lineage: Eukaryota; Fungi; Basidiomycota; Tremellomycetes; Tremellales; Rhynchogastremaceae.
GAAACCGGGAAGAGCUCAAAUUUGAAAUCUGGCGUCCUCAUGGGCGUCCGAGUUGUAAUCUAUAGAGGCGUUUUCCGUGCCGGACCGUGUCCAAGUUCCUUGGAACAGGAUAUCAAAGAGGGUGACAAUCCCGUACUUGACACGACGACCGGUGCUCUGUGAUACGUCUUCUACGAGUCGAGUUGUUUGGGAAUGCAGCUCAAAAUGGGUGGUGAGUUCCAUCUAAAGCUAAAUAUUGGCGAGAGACCGAUAGCGAACAAGUACCGUGAGGGAAAGAUGAAAAGCACUUUGGAAAGAGAGUUAAACAGUACGUGAAAUUGUUGAAAGGGAAACGAUUGAAGUCAGUCGUGACCGAGAGGCUCAGCCGGUUCUGCCGGUGUAUUCCCCUCGGUCGGGUCAACAUCAGUUUUGUCCGGUGGAUAAGGGCGGUAGGAAGGUGGCACCCUCGGGUGUGUUAUAGCCUGCCGUCGCAUACAUCGGGUGAGACUGAGGAACGCAGCUCGCCUUUAUGGCCGGGGUUCGCCCACGUCCGAGCUUAGGAUGUUGACAUAAUGGCUUUAAACGACCCGUCUUGAAACACGGACC